GAGUCAAGGAACUCAUAGCCCAUCUGCAAGAUAAAUAUAUCUUCAGUUGCGGCAAAAAAAUAUGGAGGGAACAAGAAAAAAUGGCAAAGAGAAGUCCAUUUGAAGUACAACAAUAUAACAGCAAAAUGAUAAAUAAUGGAUCUGUUGAUCAAAGGAGCUGUAAAUGAGAAAUAACAAAUAAAAGAACCAAUAAUAUUCUGCAGCCACUUUAAUCAGUGAAAGUCAACUUGGCAGACAAAAUAGAAUUGCAAGUUGCCUACCUGAAAAGCCAUAUGUUUAAAUUCACCACUACACCAAAAGAAAGACAGAAUGACAUUAUUCAAAACUCAGGAUUUCCUUUAUAAUUAUUGUUCAAGAAAAACCAAUUGAUGUAUAAUGUAGAACCAUGGCGUCAUUUAUGCACUGCAAAUUGCAAUAUAUAAGAUCCAAAACAAAAUCUGAAUCUCUACCCCAAAGAAAAGAAAAAGGAAAAGAAGAAUACAAAUCAAGACGCCAAGCAAAAGAGGGAAAAUGUUACACAAAAAGAAAAAAAUUGAAGUACAUAAAUAUGUACAGUAAGUUAUAAAAUCCACCUACUAUAAGACUGGAUACACCAGUUCUUAAAUCCCUCAUUUAGUGAACCAGCAUCAAGUAACUGCAAUUUAAGAUGUGCCAAUUAUAAAUAUCCAAAAUAAACUCACCCAAGUAAACUAGCAUUUCCUGGU
RNAcentral lists this unclassified non-coding RNA (704 nucleotides) under Hevea brasiliensis (rubber tree). The record is from RNAcentral. Lineage: Eukaryota; Viridiplantae; Streptophyta; Magnoliopsida; Malpighiales; Euphorbiaceae.